This 406-nucleotide ribosomal RNA is filed under the name uncultured bacterium. RNAcentral's name for it is "partial 16S ribosomal RNA". It matches the Rfam family "Bacterial small subunit ribosomal RNA", at positions 30 to 526 of the family's 1533-position model. The record is from RNAcentral.
AUUGAACGCUGGCGGCAGGCCUAACACAUGCAAGUCGAACGAGAGGCGGACGGGUGAGUAAUGUCUGGGAAACUGCCUGAUGGAGGGGGCUAACUACUGGAAACGGUAGCUAAUACCGCUUAACAUCCUAUGUGCCCUGAUGGGAUUAUCGAGUUGGUGGGGUAACGGCUCACCAAGGCGACGAUCCCUAGCUGGUCUGAGAGGCUGACCGGCCAAACUGGAACUGAGACACGGUCCAGACUCCUACGGGAGGCAGCAGUGGGGAAUAUUGCACAAUGGACGAAAGCCUGAUGCAGCCAUGCCGCGUGUGUGAAGAAGGGCUUCGGGUUGUAAAGUACUUUCGGCGGGGAGGCGGUAUCCGCAGAAAAAGCACCGGCUAACUACGUGCCAGCAGCCGCGGUAAUUC